CGGGUUCCGGUUUAGAUUGCAUUGAGCACGAGAUGAACAUGCAGUGAGCACGGCUGUGUAAAUAUGGUUUAUAAAACGUUUUAUUUUAAGUUCUAAAUGGUAUAGCGCCUGGUUGAUAAGGGCACAAGCUCCUGGCCAGCAUACAGCAGGUAGUCCUUGCUGUUGAGAUUUGCCAGCUGGCUGUUGAGAUUCCAGCAGUGGGCCUGUGCAUCCGCCCAGCUCUUCGUCUCCUGCACCAGCUCCACUUCACCCGGACGCCCAUCUUGGAAGUCAGGUGCCAGACGACACGGUGCAUGUCCGAAUACCACAGGUUGACUAGCGCCACGGAGUAGUCAGAGUUUUUCACUUGGACCCAGGUCACACCUGAAGUAUAAUUCACAGAAAACAGUCUUACCUGAUACCUUGAAGCUUGAUAAACCACAGGCUGUCUUUCCAUCUGAAUCAAAGACCAAUAUGUGUUAUUGGUGGAGAAUGAAGAGACAACAGCUGUCACUCCAACCCUCGCUGAAACAGACAUUCCCUUUGCAUUCUGACAUGAUCAUAAUCUACUUUGGUUGCCACAACUCAGGGAAAUAAAUGCCAUCAUAUUUGAGGAAGCACAUCGAGACAGGUCCUCCCUAUCGUCUGAGGCUGAGAGAAAUCUCUCCUCAGGGACCAGACCGGUCAAGGAGACCAGCUUUCGGGAUGCAGCCACCCAAACAGUGGAGUUUACCACAUCAGAUUGUGCCACACAGGUGGACGAGACCAUGUUCACCUGCAGUGUGUCCCAGGAUGACGUUUCGCAGGCCUCUGAGCAGUGCCUGGAUUCUCUAUCCUGGCAUUCAGAGUAUGCUGAAGAGGCCCACAAGGUCUGCUUGGCUCUGGAAAUGCACGCACUGGAAAACCCCCCCUUCAGCACAGGGUUCCAGCGUUCCAGAAAGAGCUCAUUCCGAUCGCGCAUUCCGGUCCUGGCUCGCACCACCAGCAGCAGAGGGAGAUGUAAGGAUGUCCAAAAGAUGGGAACCAUCACCCAUGACGUACGCUGUCUGAAAAAAGCUUGACUGACCAAUAUGUGUUAUUGGUGGAGAAUGAAGAGACAACAGCUGUCACUCCAACCCUCGCUGAAACAGACAUUCCCUUUGCAUUCUGACAUGAUCAUAAUCUACUUUGGUUGCCACAACUCAGGGAAAUAAAUGCCAUCAUAUUUGAGGAAGCACAUCGAGACAGGUCCUCCCUGUCGUCUGGGGCAGAGAGAAAUCUCUCCUCAGGGACCAGACUGGUCAAGGAGACCAGCUUUCGGGAUGCAGCCACCCAAACAGUGGAGUUUACCACAUCAGAUUGUGCCACACAGGUGGACGAGACCAUGUUCACCUGCAGUGUGUCCCAGGAUGACGUUUCGCAGGCCUCUGAGCAGUGCCUGGAUUCUCUAUCCUGGCAUUCAGAGUAUGCUGAAGAGGCCCACAAGGUCUGCUUGGCUCUGGAAAUGCACGGACUGGAAAACCCCCCCUUCAGCACAGGGUUCCAGCAUUCCAAAAAGAGCUCCUUCCGAUCGCGCAUUCCUGUCCUGGCUCGCACCACCAGCAGCAGAGGGAGAUGUAAGGAUGUCCAAAAGAUGGGAACCAUCACCCAUGACGUACGCUGUCUGAAAAAAGCUUGACUGCUGGAACUGGAAAAAACACAGUCAAGCAAGUGGCAAGAUAGCAGUGGAUUGUGCAGACCUUAGCCAGAACACCACCCCAGCCCAUGACCUUCUAAUUCCAUCUUCCCUCAGAACCACAUUCCAUCUUCCCUCUAAACCAGCUGCUGAUACUAUCUUCCUUCUAAGCUACCUUCUGAUACUAUCUUCCUUCUAAGCUACCUUCUGAUACUAUCUUCCUUCUAAGCUACCUUCUGACACUAUCUUCCUUCUAAACCACCUUCUGAUACUGUCUUCCUUCUAAGCUACCUUCUGAUUCCAUCUUCCCUCUAAACCAGCAGCUGAUACCAUCUUCCUUACAAGUCAUGUCCAUCCCCAUAUCCCCCUUUUCCAUCUCUUCAAUAAAUAAUUGAAAUGGUGUGAUCUGAA
Long non-coding RNA from Anguilla rostrata (American eel), 2044 nucleotides. RefSeq lists it as uncharacterized. Lineage: Eukaryota; Metazoa; Chordata; Actinopteri; Anguilliformes; Anguillidae. The transcript has 15 exons. The record is from RefSeq and is a predicted model, not a curated record.